Molecule: ribosomal RNA, 273 nt
Filed under: uncultured bacterium
Lineage: Bacteria
Description: partial 16S ribosomal RNA
Rfam family: Bacterial small subunit ribosomal RNA
Source: RNAcentral
UACGUAGGGUGCGAGCGUUGCCCGGAUUUAUUGGGCGUAAAGGGCGCGUAGGCGGCCCGGCGCGUCAUGCGUGAAAUCUCCCGGCUCAACUGGGAGGGGUCGUGUGAUACGGCCGGGCUGGAGCAAGGUAGGGGGCAGUGGAAUUCCCGGUGUAGUGGUGGAAUGCGUAGAUAUCGGGAGGAACACCAGUGGCGAAGGCGGCUGCCUGGACCUGUGCUGACGCUGAGGCGCGAAAGCGUGGGGAGCGAUCCGGAUUAGAAACCCUCGUAGUCC